UUCUCCAGCCCCGUGUGGACCCAGAGCCAGGCUGCAAAAGUCAGGAUCACCAGGGACUGCGGUUUGGAAGGUGAAGGUGUGAAAAGAUGCCCAAGUAGCUGCGUGGAAGCUUCCUGGAAUGUCAGCAGAGUGACAGCAGCCGUUUAGCACAAGCUCCCAUUGUCUGCACUGCCCCACAAGAUAAGAAUUUGCCAAAAAGGACUUUAGGCUCUGCACUGGGACCUCCAGCAGGCUGGGGCCAGGCUGGGCAGUCUGCAGCCCCUCUCCCCACCUUAGGUGGUGAGGCUUCUCUGAUCCUCAGCCCACUGGCCAGGUAAACUGUGCUCCCGAAGAACAAAACGUAGCCUUGUAGAGUCAUUCUAAUGCGAGGAGAAAAUAGGAUUAGGCCAGAGUGUCAGCCAGGAAGCAAGGAUGCCUCCUGCCUACAUUUGGGUCUUGGAUUGACUCACUACAUCACAGGACUGCUGGGCUCCAGGAUGCGAAGAUCCAGCCACAACUGGCACCAGAGAACAAGAGAAGCUUCCUUUCCAUCUCUGGUGGCCUGCUCACCAAAGACCCUCUGGUCCCGUCAACUUGGUGUUAACUCUUGGGUGUAAAUGCCUUUGAGAAAAUACCCACUGCACCUCCUACAGUGAAUCCCACUGCUCACACAGGGUUUGUAUGAAGUCUGCCCUUUAUGGGCCAUCUACACAUCUCCUGUAUAAGAUACAGAAGGAAUAUUGGAGAUUGCGGAGGACGUGACACUUGACCCUGCAACCCGAACCCCGCAGGGGCAGCCGCCGCCUUGCAAAGUAGCAGUCCCCGAGCAGCGCCGCGCGGCGGUGGCCGGCCAAGCCCUCCGGGAGCUCUCCGGGUCCCCUUCCUCGCCCCCACCCCCGCCUUGCUCGCAGCUUGCCUCUGUCGACCCCUUCCCGCAGCCGCGUUUCAAUCAAACUCACUGAGACGGCACCGAGCGGGCGCCGGGGACAAGAAACGCCUCGCCAGCGACAACGCGCGAACAAGCGGAGCCGCGGGCCCCGGCGCCUCCGCCCACACGCGCCCCGCGUGCUGAAACCCGCACCUGGCCCACGGGUAGCCGGAAAAGCCGGGUCCCGGCCCGCCCGCCGGGCCGCCCCUGCUCCCGCUCCCCCAGCUCCAAGCGCUGCGGCUCAGAAACCCACCCGCCCGGCCCAGCCCCCGCCGGAGCCCUGCACCUUGGGGAGCCGGAGGCUGGGGAGGGGACCAGAGAAGGGGAAGAAGGGGCAUCGCCCUUCUUCCUACCCUGGGACAGCGCCUGGACUGGAGCUGGGUGCCGAGGAAACGACGGGAAGAGCUGACAGAGAGGCGGAGGGAGAAAAGAAAGGAAAAGAGGCAGAGACGAGGAAGGGAAGAAAGGGAUCCGAAGUGACCCGCCCUCGGGCCUCCGCGCCGGUGAUGCCCCGCGCCCAGGGCGAGGCCGUGCUUCGCGGGCAUGAGAAGCCAGGAGGCAGCGGAGUGCGGGUCUGGGGCACCGGGGACAUUGCCAAACAUAAUUGGGGUGCCAAACUGGGCUUCUUAAUCUCGAAGCCAGGAUGGGCGGGUGUGGCCGGGGGUGCGCGGGGUCAGCCAGCUUGGGGUGCUUUCCUUCGGGGCUCACACCGGCAGCGCGGACCGGCCGAGGCCGCUGGGACUGCAAGUCCGCCGCCUGCUUUUGUUCUGGGUUCUGCUGUAAUUUAACAUAAAACGCCUGUUAGAAUCACUGCUGCCGAAACACGCGUUUCUCCUUGUUUUGCCACCAACUAACAGGAUUAGGCAACAAGAGCGAGAUUUCAAAUUAACCAUAAAAAUGACAAAUUGCAAUUCAUUUAGCUGCCCACUUACUACAUUAAAAAACAUAAAUAAAUGAAUCUGCGUAUUCAGAGGGUUGAACGGCCCGCAAGGAAGCGAAAGCGGUUGAACUCAGGCCUCCGGGUGGGAGUCAGGGCUGUGGCGCUGGCGAGAGCGGGCCGCCGCGGAAUUCGCACCGUCUUCCAAGGGCCCGGAAAGAGGC
RNAcentral lists this long non-coding RNA (2008 nucleotides) under Homo sapiens (human). RNAcentral describes it as "HSALNT0131281". The record is from RNAcentral. Lineage: Eukaryota; Metazoa; Chordata; Mammalia; Primates; Hominidae.